Heteronotia binoei (common prickly gecko) is the source of this 89-nucleotide small nucleolar RNA. RefSeq annotates it as small nucleolar RNA U2-19. Lineage: Eukaryota; Metazoa; Chordata; Lepidosauria; Squamata; Gekkonidae. The record is from RefSeq and is a predicted model, not a curated record. The transcript has a single exon.
GCUCUGUGAUGAGAAUUAGCCAAAUCUGAGCACCAAAAAAAGAUCAGCAGAUCUAUAUAAGGUGCAUGAUCUAGAAUACCAUUCUGGGA